UGUUGGAGGGUUUCUGCCCUUCAGUGCCGGAAGUUAACGCAUUAAGCACUCCGCCUGGGGAGUACGACCGCAAGGUUGAAACUCAAAGGAAUUGACGGGGGCCCGCACAAGCGGUGGAGCAUGUGGUUUAAUUUGAAGCUACGCGAAGAACCUUACCAGGUCUUGACAUCUUGCGCCAACCCUAGAGAUAGGGCGUUUCCUUCGGGAACGCAAUGACAGGUGGUGCAUGGUCGUCGUCAGCUCGUGUCGUGAGAUGUUGGGUUAAGUCCCGCAACGAGCGCAACCCUUGUUACUAGUUGCCAGCAUUAAGUUGGGCACUCUAGUGAGACUGCCGGUGACAAACCGGAGGAAGGUGGGGACGACGUCAGAUCAUCAUGCCCCUUAUGACCUGGGCUACACACGUGCUACAAUGGACGGUACAACGAGUCGCGAACUCGCGAGGGCAAGCAAAUCUCUUAAAACCGUUCUCAGUUCGGACUGCAGGCUGCAACUCGCCUGCACGAAGUCGGAAUCGCUAGUAAUCGCGGAUCAGCAUGCCGCGGUGAAUACGUUCCCGGGCCUUGUACACACCGCCCGUCACACCAUGAGAGUUUGUAACUACUACUUAAUACCGGUUGGCUAACUAUUUAUGUGGGCCACACACCCG
This 646-nucleotide ribosomal RNA is filed under the name Limosilactobacillus reuteri. Its description in RNAcentral is "bacterial SSU rRNA". It matches the Rfam family "Bacterial small subunit ribosomal RNA", at positions 821 to 1454 of the family's 1533-position model. Lineage: Bacteria; Bacillati; Bacillota; Bacilli; Lactobacillales; Lactobacillaceae. The record is from RNAcentral.